RNAcentral lists this ribosomal RNA (587 nucleotides) under Morchella americana. Its description in RNAcentral is "eukaryotic LSU rRNA". It matches the Rfam family "Eukaryotic large subunit ribosomal RNA", at positions 55 to 654 of the family's 3401-position model. Lineage: Eukaryota; Fungi; Ascomycota; Pezizomycetes; Pezizales; Morchellaceae. The record is from RNAcentral.
GGAAAAGAAACCAACAGGGAUUGCCUCAGUAACGGCGAGUGAAGCGGCAAAAGCUCAAAUUUUAAAGCUGGCACCUCCGGUGUCCGCGUUGUAAUUUUGUGAGGCAUCUCCGGGUGGGGCGCCGGCCUAAGUUCCUUGGAACAGGACGUCAUAGAGGGUGAGAAUCCCGUGCUUGGCUGGCUGUCCCCGUCCAUGUGAGGUGUCUUCGACGAGUCGAGUUGUUUGGGAAUGCAGCUCAAAAUGGGUGGUAAAUUUCAUCUAAAGCUAAAUAUUGGUGGGAGACCGAUAGCGCACAAGUAGAGUGAUCGAAAGAUGAAAAGCACUUUGAAAAUAGAGUUAAAAAGUACGUGAAAUUGUUGAAAGGGAAGCGCUUGAGACCAGACUUCGGUGGGGAGUGAUCAGCCGUCCUUCUGGGCGGUGCACUUGCCCCCCUCCGGGCCAGCAUCGGUUGGGACGGCGGGAUAAAGGUCCCGGGAAUGUGGCUCCUCUCGGGGAGUGUUAUAGCCCGGGUGAAUGCCGCCAGCCCCGACCGAGGACCGCGCCUUCGGGCUAGGAUGCUUGGCAUAAUGGUCUUCAGCGACCCGUCU